CAGCCGCCGCGGUAAUACCGGCGGCCCGAGUGGCGGUCACUAUUAUUGGGCUUAAAGCGUCCGUAGCCGGGUUGGGAAGUCCUCCGGGAAAUCUGGCCGCUUAACGGUCAGAAUGCCGGAGGAUACUCCCAGCCUAGGGAGCGGGGGAGGCCGAGGGGAUUCCCGGAGUAGGGGUGAAAUCCUAUAAUCCCGGGAGGACCACCUGUGGCGAAGGCGCUCGGCUGGAACGCGUCCGACGGUGAGGGACGAAGGCCAGGGGAGCAAACCGGAUUAGAUACCCGGGUAGUCCUGGCUGUAAACGAUGCGGACUAGGUGUCGGGCAAGCUAAGGGCUUGUCCGGUGCCGCAGGGAAGCCGUUAAGUCCGCCGCCUGGGGAGUACGGCCGCAAGGCUGAAACUUAAAGGAAUUGGCGGG
This 414-nucleotide ribosomal RNA is filed under the name uncultured microorganism. RNAcentral describes it as "bacterial SSU rRNA". It matches the Rfam family "Archaeal small subunit ribosomal RNA", at positions 459 to 872 of the family's 1478-position model. The record is from RNAcentral.